This 1063-nucleotide ribosomal RNA is filed under the name Bacillus subtilis. Its description in RNAcentral is "bacterial SSU rRNA". It matches the Rfam family "Bacterial small subunit ribosomal RNA", at positions 49 to 1093 of the family's 1533-position model. Lineage: Bacteria; Bacillati; Bacillota; Bacilli; Caryophanales; Bacillaceae. The record is from RNAcentral.
CUAUACAUGCAGUCGAGCGGACAGAUGGGAGCUUGCUCCCUGAUGUUAGCGGCGGACGGGUGAGUAACACGUGGGUAACCUGCCUGUAAGACUGGGAUAACUCCGGGAAACCGGGGCUAAUACCGGAUGGUUGUCUGAACCGCAUGGUUCAGACAUAAAAGGUGGCUUCGGCUACCACUUACAGAUGGACCCGCGGCGCAUUAGCUAGUUGGUGAGGUAACGGCUCACCAAGGCGACGAUGCGUAGCCGACCUGAGAGGGUGAUCGGCCACACUGGGACUGAGACACGGCCCAGACUCCUACGGGAGGCAGCAGUAGGGAAUCUUCCGCAAUGGACGAAAGUCUGACGGAGCAACGCCGCGUGAGUGAUGAAGGUUUUCGGAUCGUAAAGCUCUGUUGUUAGGGAAGAACAAGUGCCGUUCAAAUAGGGCGGCACCUUGACGGUACCUAACCAGAAAGCCACGGCUAACUACGUGCCAGCAGCCGCGGUAAUACGUAGGUGGCAAGCGUUGUCCGGAAUUAUUGGGCGUAAAGGGCUCGCAGGCGGUUUCUUAAGUCUGAUGUGAAAGCCCCCGGCUCAACCGGGGAGGGUCAUUGGAAACUGGGGAACUUGAGUGCAGAAGAGGAGAGUGGAAUUCCACGUGUAGCGGUGAAAUGCGUAGAGAUGUGGAGGAACACCAGUGGCGAAGGCGACUCUCUGGUCUGUAACUGACGCUGAGGAGCGAAAGCGUGGGGAGCGAACAGGAUUAGAUACCCUGGUAGUCCACGCCGUAAACGAUGAGUGCUAAGUGUUAGGGGGUUUCCGCCCCUUAGUGCUGCAGCUAACGCAUUAAGCACUCCGCCUGGGGAGUACGGUCGCAAGACUGAAACUCAAAGGAAUUGACGGGGGCCCGCACAAGCGGUGGAGCAUGUGGUUUAAUUCGAAGCAACGCGAAGAACCUUACCAGGUCUUGACAUCCUCUGACAAUCCUAGAGAUAGGACGUCCCCUUCGGGGGCAGAAUGACAGGUGGUGCAUGGUUGUCGUCACCUCCUGUCCUGAGAAGUUUGGGUUAAAUCCCGCAAC